UACACACCGCCCGUCAAACCACGAAAGUUGUAUUAGCCAGAAGCAAAUGAGCCAACCGUAAGGAAGCAGUUUGCCAAGGCUUGUGCGAUGAUUGGGGUU
This 99-nucleotide ribosomal RNA is filed under the name uncultured bacterium. RNAcentral's name for it is "partial 16S ribosomal RNA". It matches the Rfam family "Bacterial small subunit ribosomal RNA", at positions 1384 to 1482 of the family's 1533-position model. The record is from RNAcentral.